This 316-nucleotide unclassified non-coding RNA is filed under the name uncultured fungus. RNAcentral's name for it is "partial contains 5.8S ribosomal RNA and internal transcribed spacer 2". The stretch from base 1 to 133 matches the Rfam family "5.8S ribosomal RNA", at positions 22 to 154 of the family's 154-position model. The record is from RNAcentral. Lineage: Eukaryota; Fungi.
UGGUUCUGGCAUNGAUGAAGAACGCAGCGAAAUGCGAUAAGUAAUGUGAAUUGCAGAAUUCAGUGAAUCAUCGAAUCUUUGAACGCACAUUGCGCCCCUUGGUAUUCCGAGGGGCAUGCCUGUUCGAGCGUCAUUACAACCCUCAAGCUUGGCUUGGUAUUGGGUUCCGCUGCUUACCUAGCGGGCCUUAAAUCCAGUGGCGGUGUCGUAGAGACCCUGAGCGUAGUAAAUAUCCUCGCUUUAGGGACUCGGUGAUUACUGGCCAUCAACCCCAAAUUCUAAGUUUGACCUCGGAUCAGGUAGGGACACCCGCUGA